Pseudonaja textilis is the source of this 210-nucleotide non-coding RNA. Lineage: Eukaryota; Metazoa; Chordata; Lepidosauria; Squamata; Elapidae. The record is from RefSeq and is a predicted model, not a curated record.
GUGUGACAUGGUAGCUAGAGAGCUGGGUGAGGAUUUGGUUCAAAUAUCUGAAGUUAGAUGGGGCUGCGACUUCAAAAGGUUACUAAACAAAUGGCUAUAAUUUGAAGAUUACCUGUAUUGCUAAGGUAAUGUUUCUAUGCAAUCCCCAGGAGUCACGACUGAAUCAAAAGGGCACGCAGGGAGGAGAGGAUAAGGGAGAGAUACUCGGGA